GCGAACGCUGGCGGCGUGCUUAACACAUGCAAGUCGAGUGCGCGGUUCGUAGCAAUACGAACUGGCGCACGGCGCACGGGUGAGGAACACGUGGGCAACAUGCCCUCCGAUGGGGAAUAACCCGCCGAAAGGCGGGCUAAUACCGCAUACGAUUCCGGGGACCUCGGUUCCUGGACUGAAAGCCCGCAAGGGCGUCGGUGGAGUGGCCCGCGGCCGAUCAGCUUGUGCGGGUAACGCCACAAGGCAAUGAUCGUAGCCGGUCUGAGAGGAUGAUCGGCCACACUGGAACUGAGACACGGUCCAGACUCCUACGGGAGGCAGCAGUGGGAAUCUUGCGCAAUGGGCGAAAGCCUGACGCAGCGACGCCGCGUGGGGAUGAAGCCUUUCGGGGCGUAAACCCCUUUCGACCCGGACGAAAUGCCCGCAAGGGAAUUGACGGUACGGUAUAAGAAGCCCGGCUAACUACGUGCCAGCAGCCGCAGUAAU
Molecule: ribosomal RNA, 486 nt
Filed under: uncultured bacterium
Lineage: Bacteria
Description: bacterial SSU rRNA
Rfam family: Bacterial small subunit ribosomal RNA
Source: RNAcentral